AUGGAGGGUACUAUGACAAUUGCUAAAUACAUUGGUCAAUUCAAUGAAUUAGUUAUAAGGUGUGCGAUUAUUGAUAACCGCAAACACCGCAUGGCAAGACACCAUAAUGGCCCAUGAGCUAACAUAAAGGUGAAGCUAGUAUUGUAUCGAUUAGAGACUCUUGAUGAAGCUUUGCUUAAAUGUCUACAAUUAGAGAAAGCCAUCAUUCUGCAAGCU
This 216-nucleotide long non-coding RNA is filed under the name Elaeis guineensis (African oil palm). RNAcentral's name for it is "long non-coding RNA (EGUI_LNC031627)". The record is from RNAcentral. Lineage: Eukaryota; Viridiplantae; Streptophyta; Magnoliopsida; Arecales; Arecaceae.